CUGCUUUGUUCACCUGGGGUUUGCUCUUAAUCACAGUUUCUAUGUGUACUCUGCUCUCUCAUUUGGGCUGCCACUUCGGUUUGAGCUUCCAAUUUUAAUUUCAGAUGCCUGUAUUUAUCCUGCCUGGUAUACCUAGAUAAGAAUCAUUGAUUGCUACUUCUUCUUGACCACUGGCAGAUGGUGUUUUAGGCUUCCAGCUUUGAGAGAGAUGAUGGACAACCCCACUUCAGGUUGCUGAAGGGAAUAAAAACACUCUGGGAAGAACAUAACCUGAGAGAAGCUGGCAGUCUCCAUCAUGUCUUAUCCCCUGUAUGCUACACCAGAGACUUUGGGGAAUUUCCCCUUUGGGGAGCAGGUGGCUACAUGACUU
RNAcentral lists this long non-coding RNA (370 nucleotides) under Monodelphis domestica (gray short-tailed opossum). RNAcentral's name for it is "lncRNA (ENSMODG00000032215.2)". Lineage: Eukaryota; Metazoa; Chordata; Mammalia; Didelphimorphia; Didelphidae. The record is from RNAcentral.